CGGAGGAUCCAAGCGUUAUCCGGAAUCAUUGGGUUAAAGGGUCCGUAGGCGGUUUAGUAAGUCAGUGGUGAAAGCCCAUCGCUCAACGGUGAACGGCCAUUGAUACUGCUAGACUUGAAUUAUUAGGAAGUAACUAGAAUAUGUAGUGUAGCGGUGAAAUGCUUAGAGAUUACAUGGAAUACCAAUUGCGAAGGCAGGUUACUACUAAUGGAUUGACGCUGAUGGACGAAAGCGUGGGUAGCGAACAGGAUUAGAUACCCUGGUAGUCCACGCCGUAAACGAUGGAUACUAGCUGUUGGGAGCGAUCUCAGUGGCUAAGCGAAAGUGAUAAGUAUCCCACCUGGGGAGUACGUUCGCAAGAAUG
RNAcentral lists this ribosomal RNA (364 nucleotides) under uncultured organism. RNAcentral's name for it is "bacterial SSU rRNA". It matches the Rfam family "Bacterial small subunit ribosomal RNA", at positions 526 to 896 of the family's 1533-position model. The record is from RNAcentral.